Molecule: long non-coding RNA, 457 nt
Filed under: Linum usitatissimum (flax)
Lineage: Eukaryota; Viridiplantae; Streptophyta; Magnoliopsida; Malpighiales; Linaceae
Description: long non-coding RNA (LUSI_LNC006332)
Source: RNAcentral
UCUUUACUUGUUUCAUAAUUGAGAUAAGUUAUCUCAAUUGUUGGGUAGAUAGGUAAGCGGUAAAAAGUCUCAGUAAAUGUUUUACCGUGGUAGGAAUACUUUUUUGUGAGCGACAAAAAUAGUGAGUAGUUGUUUUGAGGUUGGGAAACACUUGAGAGACACUAUUUUUUGAUCGAUUCGGAUAGUCUUGUAGCUACCUUGUUCUAGUGAAGUGCUUGUAGCUGUCGCUGCUACCAUAGAUGUACUCUCCGCAUUGGAGGGGAACUACGUAAAUCCCGGUGUUAUUUACUUACCGUUUUAUGAUUGUCAAUUUCGAGAAUAUUUGUUGUAUAUUGCAUAAUUAAUAUUACCACAGUGUUAUAAAACUAAAUUCAAAGAAAGACAAGAACAAGAGAAAUAUGGAGAGGGAGAGAGUUUCUUAUUGAGGUGUAUAGAAUGCUACAAAUGAGAGCUCUAU